GCUCCAGUGGCGCAACCGGUCAGCGCGCGGUACUUAUAAUGCCGAGGUUGUGAGUUCGAGCCUCACCUGGAGCA
Xiphophorus couchianus (Monterrey platyfish) is the source of this 74-nucleotide non-coding RNA. Lineage: Eukaryota; Metazoa; Chordata; Actinopteri; Cyprinodontiformes; Poeciliidae. The record is from the annotation of a RefSeq genome assembly.